AACACAGAUGCAGGUGUAUGUUAGAAGAUGGUGUCCAUCAGAAUUUUCAGUUGAUCCAACAGAAGAAGUUAUUCUAGACACACCUAUAACUAUAAGUCCCUUAGAUCUUAAAAAAAGGUGAAUGUAUAAUAAAAUAAUGCUAUGUGACUCUUUCCUUUAGCUUUCAGAGUUAAGCGGAGUUCCUGUUGAUGCCAUUUCUGUUGCAACAUAUUUGAGAUCAUUUCCAGUUGAGAUAUCACGUCUUGAUAUUGAGAAUGAGAUGGAAUGGAAUUAAGCAUCACUGUAUGAUGCUGAUGGAGAUGUCAUUUAUUACAAAGACAAUAGAGAACAAUUGAAGGAGAUGACAACUGAAGAAAGAGCAGGAUUUAAAAUGACAGAAAGCAAAAGGAUUUAUAGUGUUGCUGUAUAUGGUAUUGGGUCAUUGUAUGAUGUUCCAGGAGACAAAGAGGAUGAAGAUUGAGUACAUUUAGUGGCAAAGUGUGUAUAUGUGGCUUGUAAGCUUUCUCCCCUCUUCAGCUAUUGGUGAUAUUAUUUUAGAUCCAAUUGUGGUUGCAUUAUCUUUUUGAGCUUUGGCAGUUUUAUUAUCAUCAUC
Molecule: long non-coding RNA, 592 nt
Organism: Amphimedon queenslandica
Lineage: Eukaryota; Metazoa; Porifera; Demospongiae; Haplosclerida; Niphatidae
Exons: 4
Source: RefSeq, a predicted model, not a curated record